UUUUUAGGAAAGGUUGCAGCAUUUUCUGCCAUGUGGUAUGUCUGUUCGCGAUGUGGGAGGCAAGGGAAUAGCCAAGCUGGCAUUUUGGAUUUGAUGGGCCUUUUACUUUCCUGAGUGACAUGCCACAUGUCAAGAAAUGCUGCUUUCUUCCAGUCUCAUCACAUUUACGUGAGCAAUUUUCAUUUAGUUAUUUCCCUCCCAUAUGGUGUUAAAACAGUCACAUCCAAUGAAGAAUAUUUCUGGUUUUCUGUCGUAACUGAAAUGAGAGGACAUGUGAUAAUUGCUUAUCAGGACCUAUCCAGGUGAGAUAGAUAGUUCUGCAGUUUUCAGUGUUCCAAAUGGUUGUGUGUCUCCUGGAAAUGUUUGACAAGUGGCAGUCCUGAGAGAAGCUCCACUAUCCUGUUUUACUCAUGAGAUGUGCUCUGGGGUGAAACCGUUGUUUCUAUGACAAUAAAUAUCAGUUAAAAUCCACAGUAAUAAUAAGCAAUUUCACUACCUGAAUUUAUCCCUGUUCUGGGUCUGUUUGUCUAGCUGGUUGAUUUAUGACAUUCCCAGAGAACAAAUCCCAGGCUAAAAGCUUUGAUUUCAGCAAAUAGAAAUAGUAAAGAGAGACAAGGAUAUUUUUUACAUAAUACUGUUUUCACAAAUACAAAUUUCAUGAACUCACAUUAACUGGAAGCAGCCAAUCUACUAAACAGAAAUACCAUACUGAAAGUCUACUUCGAGGCAGAAAGAUAUUAACUCCAUGCUGUUUCAGGGGACCACAUUUUUGAUUAGUGGGUAGCAUUUGUCAUAAAUGCGAGAUUAGAGUCAAGUAUAAUGUUUAGACAUGGCUACUCCUCCCAUAAUAGUACACACUGCCCAGAAUGAUCAAGACAAAUAUAGGAAAACAUUAUAAUGAUCUUUAAAGAACAUUGGAAUCUGCUAACGUGCAUUGUGGUAUAAAUUUCCAACUAAGGGCACAGAGUUGUAAAGAGUUGUGAAUGACAUGCAAAGGUUAUGAUUUCACAUGCAAGUUUAGAUAAAAUCAUUUAAAUUUACUUGAGGAGAAAUAUUGUAAAAAUAUAACAUCAUCUGAUAUUCUUCCUU
RNAcentral lists this long non-coding RNA (1089 nucleotides) under Mus musculus (house mouse). RNAcentral describes it as "long non-coding RNA chr4:12982155-12983244". Lineage: Eukaryota; Metazoa; Chordata; Mammalia; Rodentia; Muridae. The record is from RNAcentral.